This 484-nucleotide ribosomal RNA is filed under the name Metabacillus niabensis. Its description in RNAcentral is "bacterial SSU rRNA". It matches the Rfam family "Bacterial small subunit ribosomal RNA", at positions 896 to 1379 of the family's 1533-position model. The record is from RNAcentral. Lineage: Bacteria; Bacillati; Bacillota; Bacilli; Caryophanales; Bacillaceae.
GAAACUCAAAGGAAUUGACGGGGGCCCGCACAAGCGGUGGAGCAUGUGGUUUAAUUUGAAGCAACGCGAAGAACCUUACCAGGUCUUGACAUCUUUUGAUAAUUCUAGAGAUAGAAGGUUCCCCUUCGGGGGACGAAGUGACAGGUGGUGCAUGGUUGUCGUCAGCUCGUGUCGUGAGAUGUUGGGUUAAGUCCCGCAACGAGCGCAACCCUUGAUCUUAGUUGCCAGCAUUCAGUUGGGCACUCUAAGGUGACUGCCGGUGACAAACCGGAGGAAGGUGGGGAUGACGUCAAAUCAUCAUGCCCCUUAUGACCUGGGCUACACACGUGCUACAAUGGAUGGUACAAAGGGCUGCAAGACCGCGAGGUCAAGCCAAUCCCAUAAAACCAUUCUCAGUUCGGAUUGCAGGCUGCAACUCGCCUGCAUGAAGCCGGAAUCGCUAGUAAUCGCGGAUCAGCAUGCCGCGGUGAAUACGUUCCCGGGC